CCUACGGGUGGCAGCAGUAGGGAAUAUUGGUCAAUGGGCGCAAGCCUGAACCAGCGAUGCCGCGUGAGGGAUGAAGGCCUUCGGGUCGUAAAGCUCUGUUGCGAGGGAAAAAAGGUAGCUUUGGUAAACGGCUGUUGAUUGAUGGUGCCCCGCCAGAAAGUCACGGCUAACUCCGUGCCAGCAGCCGCGGUAAUACGUAGGGGGCGAGCGUUAUUCGGAAUGAUUGGGCGUAAAGGGUGCGUAGGCGGUAUGGCAAGUCUGGAGUGAAACGGAUGAGCUCAACGGAAGAAUGGCCUUUGAAACUGGAGAACUGGAGAGCAGGAGAGGGUGGGGGAACUCCAGGUGUAGCGGUGAAAUGCGUAGAUAUCUGGAAGAACACCAGUGGCGAAGGCGGCCGGCUGGCCUGUAACUGACGCUGAGGCACGAAAGCGUGGGUAGCAAACAGGAUUAGAUACCCUAGUAGUC
Molecule: ribosomal RNA, 465 nt
Filed under: uncultured bacterium
Lineage: Bacteria
Description: partial 16S ribosomal RNA
Rfam family: Bacterial small subunit ribosomal RNA
Source: RNAcentral